UCGCCUCAACUCAUGGGAGACUACCCCCUAAAUUUAAGCAU
Molecule: ribosomal RNA, 41 nt
Filed under: Anopheles barbirostris subgroup clade I
Lineage: Eukaryota; Metazoa; Arthropoda; Insecta; Diptera; Culicidae
Description: partial 28S ribosomal RNA
Source: RNAcentral